UCUUAUGCAAGUCUUUUAUAAGGUUUUUCUAUUUCUUUUCCAUAUGGGUGAGUUUAGAGCUGAGGCCCAAUUAUUUCUACUACUCAAAAACUGAGCAGCAAUUUAAUAAACUGAGUGACCCUAAGGUUUGAGAAAUAUGUACAGAGUAAUUGACUUCCCUCUGUUGAAUCUGUAACAAACAAAGUGAAAUGUGUCUGAGAAUACAACUACUAAUGAAAAAUUAUUAGUCUUGGGGAUCAUAAAGAUUUUUUUUUUGGCAUACAUAAAAAAUCGAUCCUAACAGUCCAAAAUCCUCCAGUGCAGAGAGUCAUCUGUUGGCAGUGCAGCAGGCGGUCAUUACACUGACAGAUUCAUAUUUCUUGUUUUCUACAAUCAUCAGUCUGAAGAGAUUCACUUUAAUGAUGUGUGUAGCUAAGAAGCUCAGGGUGGAGGAAACCUCGAUUACACACAGACUCACACAUGUUUUCAGAUGUGAGGCUCAGUAAAAGGAAAGCAGCAGUCUGUGAGCAGCAGCACAGAUUCAAACAUCUUUCAUACAAGACAAAACUCCAACAUCAUCUUUACAGCUGAGAGCAGAACCAGAGCCAGCCUGUGAGCUGUGGAGACGAGCAGGAGGAAACAGGAAGUUGGAUCCAUGCUGACAUCACUGAGCUCGCUGUUUAAACCUGCUGUUUGUUCCUGACAUGCAGUCACAGUCUGAGUUACACCAAUGUUUUCUCUUCAGUUCCAGAACCAAACACUGGAUUGAUUGUAGCUGUUGCUGUUCUUGCUGUUGUUCUUGCUAUUGUAGUUGGGAUUCUUGUCAGGUAUUACUUCAUGAAUUAAAAAGAAUCAAACAAGAAGGAGUCCUCUGAACCCUCAGCCCAGGAACAGAAACUCAAUGCUGAACAAAGUGUGUGAAGUACGGUGUGUGUGUUGCUUAUGUUUGUUUUAUGAGAACCAAAUUAAGUUUUGGAGCACAGCAGCUUGGACAUGUUGGAUUAUUUUUGGUAUUUUCAGCAGUUUAAAAGUUCAGAACAGAUUUUAAUCCUGUGGUUUAGCACAUGGUUAAAUGUCAGGAUGGAGGGAUGUAGUUUCUGCUGCAUUUGUGCAAAAGAAAUAUUUCCUGUUCGGCCACCAAAGCCAUUUUUCUAAUACUUUGAUCAUCAUCACUUCACAUAUAUCUGUAUAAAAAAUAAAAGUAUAAAUGUUUAUCUCAAAGUCCUCAGUACUUGAUAAAAAAUACUUUCAAAUACCGUCUAACACCAUCUUUUCAACACUGGGCAUUUGGGGGGUUUUUUUCUAUUUGAAUGAAAACAGAUGCAGCACAUCAAUGUUUUUCUUUAUCCCACACAUGAACUGUCAUCCUGUCACCUGAAAUAGGUUUAAAAUAUUAAAUUACUGUUGUAUUUAUUCCAUGAGAGGUCUGAGGUUAAAUGUCCUGUGCUUUCCUCUUCUGCAGCAGUUUAAUAGGACGGAGUAGAGAAAUGGCUUUAGACAGUUUUUCAACUCUCAGCAAUGCCACAGUGAUCGUUUGAUAUAUGGACCUGCAGCGGAGUUUAGGCUCAGACACGACUAGUGACGUCAGACUGAACAAUCGGAUAGGACGGAGCAGAGAAAUGGCUCCACCUGCUCUUGGUGCAUUUGCCCACUCUGGAUGGAUUUGUGUUUCCAGCUGGACUCAUAUUUCAGUAAAUAUCUAAAUAACAUUUGAAAGGAAAUUUGUCUGAUAACAGAAGGUUUGUCAAACAACUGUCUCAAGUUAAUUCUUUCCUUUAGAAUGCUCCAAACAAGGGAAAUAAGUUUUCUUUGUUUUCUAACACUAAACAUACAUUAACUUAAUGUAAUUAACUAUAACCCUGAGCUGUUCUGCUGUAAAUAAAUGUGAAUAUUUUGCAGUCUGAAAAGAAAGUGCCUUUUUAAAUACGCUUUUGUGUUUUAUCUUUUUAUUUUUGCUAAAGAAAACUGUCAGGAUACACACACUGCAGAUGAAAUGUUGUUGAUGUUUGAUAAUGAAAAUCAUGUUCAUGCUUUUAAUUAUGUCCUCAUACUUAUAUAAUUAUAAUUAAUAAUUAUAAUUAUUAUAAUUAACAUAAUUAUGUCCAUCAUUUUUCACACAGCUCAAGAUUCUCAGAAUAAAAUAUCAAAAAUUAAA
Maylandia zebra (zebra mbuna) is the source of this 2134-nucleotide non-coding RNA. Lineage: Eukaryota; Metazoa; Chordata; Actinopteri; Cichliformes; Cichlidae. The record is from RefSeq and is a predicted model, not a curated record.